This 471-nucleotide ribosomal RNA is filed under the name uncultured organism. RNAcentral describes it as "partial 16S ribosomal RNA". It matches the Rfam family "Bacterial small subunit ribosomal RNA", at positions 335 to 797 of the family's 1533-position model. The record is from RNAcentral.
ACUCCUACGGGAGGCAGCAGUGGGGAAUUUUGGACAAUGGGCGAAAGCCUGAUCCAGCAAUGCCGCGUGAGUGAAGAAGGCCUUCGGGUUGUAAAGCUCUUUUGUCAGGGAAGAAACGGUGAAAGCUAAUAUCUUUUGCUAAUGACGGUACCUGAAGAAUAAGCACCGGCUAACUACGUGCCAGCAGCCGCGGUAAUACGUAGGGUGCAAGCGUUAAUCGGAAUUACUGGGCGUAAAGCGUGCGCAGGCGGUUUUGUAAGUCUGAUGUGAAAUCCCCGGGCUCAACCUGGGAAUUGCAUUGGAGACUGCAAGGCUAGAAUCUGGCAGAGGGGGGUAGAAUUCCACGUGUAGCAGUGAAAUGCGUAGAUAUGUGGAGGAACACCGAUGGCGAAGGCAGCCCCCUGGGUCAAGAUUGACGCUCAUGCACGAAAGCGUGGGGAGCAAACAGGAUUAGAAACCCUUGUAGUCCCA